GACGAACGCUGGCGGCGUGCUUAACACAUGCAAGUCGAACGGAAAGGCCCAGCUUGCUGGGUGCUCGAGUGGCGAACGGGUGAGUAACACGUGGGUGAUCUGCCCCUAACUUCGGGAUAAGCUUGGGAAACUGGGUCUAAUACCGGAUAGGACAAUCGUUUAGUGUCGGUUGUGGAAAGUUUUAUCGGUUAGGGAUGAGCCCGCGGCCUAUCAGCUUGUUGGUGGGGUAAUGGCCUACCAAGGCGUCGACGGGUAGCCGGCCUGAGAGGGUGGACGGCCACAUUGGGACUGAGAUACGGCCCAGACUCCUACGGGAGGCAGCAGUGGGGAAUAUUGCACAAUGGGCGCAAGCCUGAUGCAGCGACGCCGCGUGGGGGAUGACGGCCUUCGGGUUGUAAACCUCUUUCGACAGGGACGAAGCUUUGGUGACGGUACCUGUAUAAGAAGCACCGGCUAACUACGUG
RNAcentral lists this ribosomal RNA (464 nucleotides) under uncultured bacterium. RNAcentral's name for it is "partial 16S ribosomal RNA". It matches the Rfam family "Bacterial small subunit ribosomal RNA", at positions 28 to 507 of the family's 1533-position model. The record is from RNAcentral.